RNAcentral lists this ribosomal RNA (253 nucleotides) under uncultured bacterium. RNAcentral describes it as "partial 16S ribosomal RNA". It matches the Rfam family "Bacterial small subunit ribosomal RNA", at positions 524 to 776 of the family's 1533-position model. The record is from RNAcentral.
GACGGGGGGUGCAAGCGUUAUCCGGAAUCACUGGGCGUAAAGCGUCUGUAGGUGGUGAUGCAAGUCACUGGUGCAAAAGUCUGGCUCAACCGGAGGAAAGCCAGUGAAACUGCAUGACUAGAGUGUGGGAGAGGUAGAAGGAAGUCCCUGAGUAGCGGUGAAAUGCGUAGAUACAGGGAAGAACACCGGAGGCGAAAGCGUUCUACUGGAACACAACUGACACUGAGAGACGAAAGCUAGGGGAGCGAAUGGG